Molecule: small nucleolar RNA, 106 nt
Organism: Saimiri boliviensis boliviensis (Bolivian squirrel monkey)
Lineage: Eukaryota; Metazoa; Chordata; Mammalia; Primates; Cebidae
Product: small nucleolar RNA U13
Source: RefSeq, a predicted model, not a curated record
CUCCUUUGUAGUUCACGAGAGUGACAAUUGGAUGUUCACGAGCAUGUAUGAGACUGUGCCACCCUCUAGCCUUGUUACCACGAUUGUGCACAUCACUCAUCUGACA